ACACACACACACACACACUUCAGGUCUGUGCCUUGAUCCGGAUCUUCUCAGUCUCCAGACCUGUUAGCAGUAAACGCAUUUUGUUUAAACUGCCCGGCUUAAAGUAUUCUUUGUAUAGCAACCCAGGCUCACUGAGGAAAAGAAAGACUCCACAGCAUAAGUUUUCGCCUUCAGGCGACCCAGAAUAUACAGAAGCAAUGCUGUUGUUAGAAUCUGCAAGAGUCCUGCAAGCCGAAGGACAUGGUCCAGCUAAAAUAAACAGCAAGUACAAUAACACAGCUAACCAAAUACUUAGAGAUGCAACAUUAAAUAUUUAUUUUAGCCCUUUUCAAAUAAAUGGGUACAGAUUGUUCGCAUCCCAAGAGACGUUUGUUUCUUAAACGUUUGUAAAAAAAAAAAAAAUAAUGUCUAAAAACAAACAGCACAGUCUGUUUAUUUUUUAGAGGAAACUGAAAUCAGGGCUACUGGAAUAAAACUUGACCAUUCUAACCGCAACGCUUGCUUGUAGAGAAUUCUGCAUUUCAGUCCUGAAUGUAAGUAUUCUUGUCUCAGUGAUGUCCGACACUGACGGAUAUGACAGUGGUCCUGUAUGGUUAUAAGAGAACUGACGAUCCAGUUGCCCAGUACUGUUACUCUAUUUUUAAUGUCUAGAUCUGUUCACGUGCACAAAUAUUCACCAUUGUGUUAUAGCUGCUUAAAGGAUCCAUAGUCACACUACAUAUGUUUAUAUUCCAGAAGCAAUAGGACAUGCCGUGUAGAAUCGGUGUAUAAUAAACGAUACCGUCUA
RNAcentral lists this long non-coding RNA (787 nucleotides) under Rattus norvegicus (Norway rat). RNAcentral describes it as "long non-coding RNA NONRATT013097". The record is from RNAcentral. Lineage: Eukaryota; Metazoa; Chordata; Mammalia; Rodentia; Muridae.